UACAGAGACUGCAAGCGUUAUUCGGAUUCACUGGGCGUAAAGGGUGCGCAGGCGGUCAAGUGUGUCAGAUGUGAAAUCCCGAGGCUCAACCUCGGAACUGCGUCUGAAACUAUUUGACUAGAGUAUUGGAGAGGGUAACGGAAUUCACGGUGUAGCAGUGAAAUGCGUAGAUAUCGUGAGGAACACCAGAGGCGAAGGCGGUUACCUGGACAAUUACUGACGCUCAGGCACGAAAGCAUGGGGAUCAAAAGGG
Molecule: ribosomal RNA, 253 nt
Filed under: uncultured Opitutus sp.
Lineage: Bacteria; Pseudomonadati; Verrucomicrobiota; Opitutia; Opitutales; Opitutaceae
Description: partial 16S ribosomal RNA
Rfam family: Bacterial small subunit ribosomal RNA
Source: RNAcentral